This 204-nucleotide ribosomal RNA is filed under the name Lactococcus lactis subsp. lactis. Its description in RNAcentral is "partial 16S ribosomal RNA". It matches the Rfam family "Bacterial small subunit ribosomal RNA", at positions 123 to 322 of the family's 1533-position model. Lineage: Bacteria; Bacillati; Bacillota; Bacilli; Lactobacillales; Streptococcaceae. The record is from RNAcentral.
AAUCUGCCUUUGAGCGGGGGACAACAUUUGGAAACGAAUGCUAAUACCGCAUAAAAACUUUAAACACAAGUUUUAAGUUUGAAAGAUGCAAUUGCAUCACUCAAAGAUGAUCCCGCGUUGUAUUAGCUAGUUGGUGAGGUAAAGGCUCACCAAGGCGAUGAUACAUAGCCGACCUGAGAGGGUGAUCGGCCACAUUGGGACUGA